RNAcentral lists this ribosomal RNA (1079 nucleotides) under Nocardia sp. RNAcentral describes it as "bacterial SSU rRNA". It matches the Rfam family "Bacterial small subunit ribosomal RNA", at positions 320 to 1411 of the family's 1533-position model. Lineage: Bacteria; Bacillati; Actinomycetota; Actinomycetes; Mycobacteriales; Nocardiaceae. The record is from RNAcentral.
UGAGACACGGCCCAGACUCCUACGGGAGGCAGCAGUGGGGAAUAUUGCACAAUGGGCGAAAGCCUGAUGCAGCGACGCCGCGUGAGGGAUGACGGCCUUCGGGUUGUAAACCUCUUUCGACAGGGACGAAGCGCAAGUGACGGUACCUGUAGAAGAAGCACCGGCCAACUACGUGCCAGCAGCCGCGGUAAUACGUAGGGUGCGAGCGUUGUCCGGAAUUACUGGGCGUAAAGAGCUUGUAGGCGGUUCGUCGCGUCGUUCGUGAAAACUUGGGGCUCAACCCCAAGCUUGCGGGCGAUACGGGCGGACUAGAGUACUUCAGGGGAGACUGGAAUUCCUGGUGUAGCGGUGAAAUGCGCAGAUAUCAGGAGGAACACCGGUGGCGAAGGCGGGUCUCUGGGAAGUAACUGACGCUGAGAAGCGAAAGCGUGGGUAGCGAACAGGAUUAGAUACCCUGGUAGUCCACGCCGUAAACGGUGGGUACUAGGUGUGGGUUUCCUUCCACGGGAUCCGUGCCGUAGCUAACGCAUUAAGUACCCCGCCUGGGGAGUACGGCCGCAAGGCUAAAACUCAAAGGAAUUGACGGGGGCCCGCACAAGCGGCGGAGCAUGUGGAUUAAUUCGAUGCAACGCGAAGAACCUUACCUGGGUUUGACAUACACCGGAAACCUGCAGAGAUGUAGGCCCCCUUGUGGUCGGUGUACAGGUGGUGCAUGGCUGUCGUCAGCUCGUGUCGUGAGAUGUUGGGUUAAGUCCCGCAACGAGCGCAACCCUUAUCUUAUGUUGCCAGCGCGUAAUGGCGGGGACUCGUGAGAGACUGCCGGGGUCAACUCGGAGGAAGGUGGGGACGACGUCAAGUCAUCAUGCCCCUUAUGUCCAGGGCUUCACACAUGCUACAAUGGCCGGUACAGAGGGCUGCGAUACCGUGAGGUGGAGCGAAUCCCUUAAAGCCGGUCUCAGUUCGGAUCGGGGUCUGCAACUCGACCCCGUGAAGUUGGAGUCGCUAGUAAUCGCAGAUCAGCAACGCUGCGGUGAAUACGUUCCCGGGCCUUGUACACACCGCCCGUCACGUCAGAAAGU